UGACCCAGAUCUGUCAAGGACCGUGGGGUGGCUGUCUGUGCACCAGUCUCCCCACGUUAAACAAAGUCACGCACAGGUGUCCUCCAUGAGAGGACAGUCAUACACGUUUCGAGUGACCACCGAUGAUAAUGAUGAAAAUCCUCA
Molecule: long non-coding RNA, 144 nt
Organism: Amblyraja radiata (thorny skate)
Lineage: Eukaryota; Metazoa; Chordata; Chondrichthyes; Rajiformes; Rajidae
Exons: 3
Source: RefSeq, a predicted model, not a curated record